CAGCAGCCACGGUAAUACGAAGGGUGCAAGCGUUACUCGGAAUUACUGGGCGUAAAGCGUGCGUAGGUGGUGGUUUAAGUCCGUUGUGAAAGCCCUGGGCUCAACCUGGGAAUUGCAGUGGAUACUGGGUCACUAGAGUGUGGUAGAGGAUAGUGGAAUUUCCGGUGUAGCGGUGAAAUGCGUAGAGAUCUGGAGGAAUACCGAUGGCGAAGGCAGCCAUCUGGCCUAAUACUGACGCUGAGGUACGAAAGCAUGGGGAGCAAACAGGAUUAGAUACCCCCGUAGUCCCUGUCUCUUAUAC
Molecule: ribosomal RNA, 301 nt
Filed under: uncultured bacterium
Lineage: Bacteria
Description: partial 16S ribosomal RNA
Rfam family: Bacterial small subunit ribosomal RNA
Source: RNAcentral